CAGAUGAUGAACUUAUUGACUUAUUAACAGGGGACAGAGACUGUGUGCUAAUUGUCACAUUCUGAUUUG
This 69-nucleotide small nucleolar RNA is filed under the name Carlito syrichta (Philippine tarsier). RNAcentral's name for it is "Small nucleolar RNA SNORD43 (ENSTSYG00000020432.2)". It matches the Rfam family "Small nucleolar RNA SNORD43". Rfam says of the family: U43 is a C/D box small nucleolar RNA that is encoded in intron 1 of the ribosomal protein L3 gene in human and cow. Three other snoRNAs ( U82, U83a and U83b) are also encoded in the same host gene but from different introns. The record is from Rfam by way of RNAcentral. Lineage: Eukaryota; Metazoa; Chordata; Mammalia; Primates; Tarsiidae.